UGAGACGUGCUUGCUUUGCCUUCGCCUUCCACCGUGAUUGUAAGUUUCCUGAGGCCUCCUAGCCGUGCUUCCUGUACAGCCUGCGGAACUGUGUCUCAUGAAAAUGACUAUAAAACUUCUUGUCAAAUUGGAGUACUUUGGAAUAUUUAGGAAAAAUUGGCAGAGAGGAGACAGGACUAAAGUGCAGCUCCCACUUGGAUGAACUGAACAGUGUGUGGAGACUCACAUUGUGAAUUUUUGCUCCAAGAACUACCUCAGGAACAUACCAGAAAAACCAAAAGAAUUCACAGACCCUUUGAAAAAAGUGGCUUGCCAGUGCAAUCUCCAUGAGACAGCUGAAAAACUGUGCUCUCUGUACACAGAGGGUUUUGUCUGUUUGGUCACCGAUGUAUCUUCAGUGCCCAGAACAGUGCGUGGCAAUGGCAGACUCUCAACUGAUGGUUUAAAGAGGUUGUCUUUUCCGAGGUCCAUCACCAGCUUCACAG
This is a long non-coding RNA of Pan troglodytes (chimpanzee), 485 nucleotides long. RefSeq lists it as uncharacterized. NCBI's taxonomy places the organism in Eukaryota, Metazoa, Chordata, Mammalia, Primates, Hominidae. The record is from RefSeq and is a predicted model, not a curated record. The transcript is spliced from 4 exons.